UCCUUCUUAGCUCAGUUGGUAGAGCGCGUCACUAGUAUCUGUAUUCAAGUGACUUAAUGACGAGGUCAGUCGUUCAAGUCGGCUAGAAGGAA
RNAcentral lists this transfer RNA (92 nucleotides) under Rhodocollybia butyracea. RNAcentral's name for it is "tRNA-Thr". It matches the Rfam family "tRNA". Rfam says of the family: Transfer RNA (tRNA) molecules are approximately 80 nucleotides in length. Their secondary structure includes four short double-helical elements and three loops (D, anti-codon, and T loops). The record is from RNAcentral. Lineage: Eukaryota; Fungi; Basidiomycota; Agaricomycetes; Agaricales; Omphalotaceae.